This 591-nucleotide ribosomal RNA is filed under the name Triticum aestivum (bread wheat). Its description in RNAcentral is "partial small subunit ribosomal RNA". Lineage: Eukaryota; Viridiplantae; Streptophyta; Magnoliopsida; Poales; Poaceae. The record is from RNAcentral.
AUGAGGACCAUGGCGCUGCUGCUGCUGGUGUCGCUGCUGGCGGCGGCCACGAGCAACACAUCUGACAACGUGCACAAUGAGAGGAGCGAGGAGGAGACGCGGCGGAUCUUCCUGGAGUGGAAGGCCGAGCUCGGCAAGACCUACAGCUCCCUCGCCGAGGAGGAGCGCGCGUACGACAUGUUCAAGCACCGCCUCCACGACAUCGACCAGUGGUGGCACAAGAGCGGCUACUCCGCCUGGUCCUGGGACAGGGAGAGGAGCGAGGAGGAGACUCGACGGAUCUUCGCGGAGUGGAUGGCCACCAACGACAAGAUCUACAGCUCCAUCGACCACGAGGAGCACCGCUACGCCAUAUUCAAGGACGCCCUCCGUCAAGUCGAUCGGAACAACGCCGGAUAUGCCUUAGGGGUCGACACUAACCACCAGGGCAUCAACGGCUUCACCGAUCUCUCCCUGGAGGAGUUCAACGUCGUUUGCUCCGGGUUCAUCCCGGAGGGCUUCGAGCCAUCGCCGGCCGACUUAAGAAGGGAUGCCGAGAUCCAGGAGCGCUUGCGGCUAGUAUAUGCCCCUCCAUCCCUUUGGGCUCAUUGA